UUCUCAUAUUUCUCAAAAAUAAAUGGAAGAGCUGAUCACUUUUCCCUAGCAAAAGAAUAUGCUUCUUUCUACAAAAAGGGAUAAGAAAGUGAAGGAGGUCAAUACAUAACAAAUUCGGUGACGUGUGAACAGAAAAUAUGGA
This is a non-coding RNA of Caenorhabditis elegans, 142 nucleotides long. NCBI's taxonomy places the organism in Eukaryota, Metazoa, Nematoda, Chromadorea, Rhabditida, Rhabditidae. The record is from Ensembl.